This 212-nucleotide long non-coding RNA is filed under the name Hordeum vulgare. RNAcentral's name for it is "long non-coding RNA (HVUL_LNC019870)". The record is from RNAcentral. Lineage: Eukaryota; Viridiplantae; Streptophyta; Magnoliopsida; Poales; Poaceae.
AUAUAUGCACUGAUGACCACCUAUAAACAUUUUAAAAAUACAUAGUACAAAUGCCCGUGCGUUGCACCGGGCAAAAAUUAUACACUGCUUACAUGUUCAACCAUCUUAAUCCUGAUGAAACAGAGGAUCUAAAUCUUGAUGAAACAAAAAAACUAUAAAUAAAAGUGUAUGAAACCUUGAACAUGGAAAUUAUCAAUCAGGAUAUUAUCAUG